GUUUUUGCCCCUUAAGCUCCAUUCUUAAGAUAGGAGAUGAUGUGUAGGAAUGGUUUCUGGCACAAUCUCUUAUCCGUCUAGUGGAUCCAGAGGAGAACAAUCGGGCUGACCCUUGUAGGCCACGUUGGGACCCUCCUCCGAUAGGUUGGGUUAAAUGCAAUGUUGGAGCGGUCUGGUCAGGGAAAAAAAAGCUUUGUGGUGGGUCUUGGGUCGUGAGAGAUGAUCGUGGUCAGGUUCUGCUUCACAGCCGUAGAGCCUUCGGGAAUCUUACAACUAAAAAGGACAGUCAGAUCACCUGUGUUCUUUGGGCCAUUGAGAGCAUGGCUAGUCAUAAAUUAUCGAAGGUUCUGUUUGCUUUCGAACCGGGAGACUUAUUGUUUGCUUUUGUUAGGCCGAAAGCGUGGCCUUCUUUUGCUUUACAGGUUUCAGAACUAACACAUUUUUUUGAAAAGAUUGGAGAUUGGAAAGUGGUGGAGGAAAAUGUGGUUUCAAACAAGGGGGCUUCUCUUAUAGCUCAAAGCGUGGUCAAGGAUGGAAGGCUACAAUCUUAUGUUGCAGUUGGUCAUCCGCUUUGGCUUCAUCAGUUCUUUGAGGGUGAGAGAAUCUUUCUUUAGGUCUUCUCUCCUUGUAUUUGGUUUGUUUUUUGGUCCCUCUCUAAUCUUUGGCUCUGUAGUUGAAUGGCACUUUCUAGUGUUUCAUUCUUAACCGUAACUGGUUUUUUUUAAAGAUUAUGUAUCCCAACUUUUAUAUAUAUCCUUUCAGUAAGAAAAAAAAAAAAAAAAGUAUAAUUAAUAUAGAUGGAAAGUUGGAAUGAUACUUUUGAAGUGUUUAACUGAAAAAGGAAGCUAGGUGCCUGCGCUUACUGACAAAUCAGUCUCCGUUUCUUGUGGCCCACGUAUUGUUCCACAUUAUU
This 913-nucleotide small RNA is filed under the name Arabidopsis thaliana (thale cress). RNAcentral's name for it is "ATSL021510". The record is from RNAcentral. Lineage: Eukaryota; Viridiplantae; Streptophyta; Magnoliopsida; Brassicales; Brassicaceae.